CCUGGUGCUGAAGGCGCAGUGGAACCACUCCGACCCAUCCCGAACUCGGUAGUGAAACGCUGCAGCGGCGAAGAUACUUGACGGGUGACUGUCUGGGAAAAUAGCUCGGUGCCAGGU
Molecule: ribosomal RNA, 117 nt
Filed under: Euhalothece natronophila Z-M001
Lineage: Bacteria; Bacillati; Cyanobacteriota; Cyanophyceae; Chroococcales; Halothecacae
Source: RNAcentral